Molecule: RNA transcript, 3497 nt
Organism: Oryza sativa Japonica Group (Japanese rice)
Lineage: Eukaryota; Viridiplantae; Streptophyta; Magnoliopsida; Poales; Poaceae
Gene name: protein SPA1-RELATED 4
Source: RefSeq, a predicted model, not a curated record
UGUGGUAGCGGCGUGCACUAGCUGGUGGCCAGUGGCCGCGCCUACUCCAUCGCCUUCUCCUCCCUUUUCUUUCCCGUGGUGAUGAUGAGCAAGGGGGGGACGUGUUGUAUGUGGCGUCAAGAGUCGUUGUUUCGUGUCGUCUAUAUCUCUCCGCGCGCGCUUUUGGAGCUUUCCGGUGAGUUUUGGUGCAUAGUAGGAGCAGAGGAGCAGUGUGGUCUGUGGGCUGUGGCGGUAGCUAGGCAGUUUUCAGGGGAGAGCUUUGCUGGUCGCUGUGCAUUGAAGAGUUGGAACUACUAGUAACCUGUGCUGUCUGUGCUGCUUGCUCGGUUCGAGGGUAAGGUGUGGUGGUGUGGCGGGGAGGGGGUUUGUGCGGCUGGGAGGCGGCUACCGAAGCUGGGCGAGAAAUUAAAGCAGCGAAGGCCCCGCGAUUUUAAAGCGGGUUUGUGUGGCUCGCUGCUCGCCGCUACUGUGUUCCUCUCGCGUCGCCUCGUCUCCCUCUUGCCACCAAGUUCAGGGGUUCAGGUCAGGUCGCUGCCGCGGCUCUCCAGAUCCUUAUCUCCUUGCUUGGAGUGGAGUGCUUUGCUCUGCCAUUCGGAGCCUGGAUGGGGUCUCGGCAGCAGCGGGUGGAGGCGGAGGGCGCGCCGAAUCGGAGGUGAUCUGGCCAUGGGGUAGCCUGGGUGGGUUGGGUGGGUGGGUGGGUGCGCGGCGGGUAUGGAGGGCUCCCGUGUCGACGCCGUCGCGGGCGGGCGGCGGUGGGGGGAAGGGGAGGAGGGUGGACGACGCGGAGGAGGAGGAGGAGGAGGAGGAGGAGGAGGAGGAACAGGAGGUGGUGGUGGUGGUGGAGGGAGGAGAGGCGGGGAGGACGGGGGUGAGGUGAGCCUGCGGGAGUGGCUGGACCGGCCAGGGCGGGCGGUGGAGGCGCCGGAGUGCCUGCACGUGUUCCGCCAGGUGGCGGAGUCGGUGGCCAUCGCGCACGCGCAGGGGGUGGCCGUCGGCAGCGCGCGCCCUUCCUGCUUCGUCGUGUCGCCGCCCUUCGCCCGCGUCGCGUUCAUCGAGUCCGCCUCCGGCUCCGACGUCUCGGGCUCCUGCUCCGGCUCCGACGGCUCGGAGGAGGCCGACCCGGAACCCUCGCCUCCUCGGCGGCGACGGGACGGCGCCAGCGGUGGGGAGGACCGCGGCGGGAAGACGUUCCCGCUGAGGAGCGUGCUGGCGAUGGAGCUCACCUGGUACACCAGCCCCGAGGAGGCCGACGACCGCGGCGGCGCUACUUUCGCCUCCGACGUGUAUAGGUUAGGAGUGCUCUUGUUCGAGUUGUUCUGUACGUUCGAGACGAUGGAGGAGAAGAUGCGAGCAAUGGCGAACCUACGGCACCGCGUCUUGCCUCCACAGCUGCUGCUCAAGUGGCCCAAGGAAGCAUCAUUCUGUCAGUUGUUGAUGCACCCUGUGCCGGAGACCCGACCGAAGAUGAGUGAUGUGCUACAAAGUGAGUUCCUUAAUCGGUCAAGAAAUAGUCUGGAGGAGCGUGAAGCAGCACUUCGGUUACGCGAAGAGAUAGAAGAACAAGAAUUACUGCUGGAUUUUCUUCUCCAACUACAGAGAAGAAAGCAAGAUAUAGCAGACAAUUUGCAGGACACAGUUGCAUUUCUCUCUUCUGACAUCAAUGAAGCGCACCAGCAGUCAGCUCUGGGGCAGUGUGGAAACUUCUCAUUUGAGUUGGAUAAAGAGGUGUGCUCUGAAACAGUUGAAGAUCAGAGUGAUUGUGGAUCCAGAAAACGUUUCCGACCUGAGCUACCAGCUGUUGAUAUGGAGGAACAGAAUCGUAGUCUUGAAGAAUGUUCGGGAACAGUUCCAUCAUCUGUGCUGAUCCAGGAAAGUGUGUUGUCUAAAAGCUCCAGACUGAUGAAGAACUUCAAAAAACUUGAAACAGCAUACUUUCUCACAAGAUCCAAGUUGGCAAAGCAAGUUGGGAAUCCUGUAAGCAGUUGCCAUCAAGUCGUGAAAAGGACUACUGGGUCACCUGUUGUGACUGAGGGAAGUUCAAUAGAUGAUUUUGCUUUGGAAGGGCAUUAUGGUACAAGGCAAAGAGGUUGGAUGAACUCUUUUCUUGAGGGAUUGUGUAGUUACUUAUCGUUCAGUAAGUUGAAAGUUAAGGCAGAACUGAAGCAAUGUGAUCUGCUGAACUCAUCAAACUUAGUAUGCUCUGUAGGCUUCGACCGGGAUAAAGAGUUCUUUGCAACUGCUGGUGUAAAUAAGAAGAUAAAAGUGUUUGAAUAUAAUAUGAUUGUAAAUGAACAUUGUGAUAUUCACUAUCCUGUGGUUGAGAUGUCUAAUAGAUCAAAAUUAAGUUGUAUUUGCUGGAACAGCUACAUGAAGAGCCAUAUAGCAUCUAGCGACUUUGAAGGUAUUGUACAGGUUUGGGAUGUUACUAGGAGCCAAGUUUUUGUUGAAAUGAGGGAACAUGAGAGGCGUGUGUGGUCGGUGGACUUCUCACUUGCGGACCCAACAAAAUUGGUUAGCGGGAGUGAUGAUGGUUCAGUGAAGCUGUGGAAUAUGAAUCAGGCAAUUUUAUUCUUGCACCUGGUGCUGGGAGUGUUGGCACUAUCAGAACAAGAGCAAAUGUAUGCUCUGUGCAGUUUCAACCUGAUUCUGCUCGUUCCAUUGCAAUUGGAUCAGCAGAUCACAAAAUUUACUGCUAUGAUCUUCGAAACAUACGAGCUCCUUAUUGUACGUUAGUUGGCCACACAAAAACAGUUAGCUAUGUUAAGUAUGUGGAUGCAUCAACUAUAGUGUCCGCAUCUACUGACAACUCCUUGAAGCUCUGGGACUUGUCCAUGAGUCAGGCAAGGAUAAUUGACAGUCCGCUUCGGACAUUUACAGGUCAUACAAACACUAAGAAUUUUGUUGGACUUUCUAUAUCUGAUGGUUACAUUGCUACUGGCUCAGAGACAAAUGAGGUUUUUGUCUACCACAAAGCAUUUCCAAUGCCAGUCUUGGCAUAUAAAUUCAGUGUCACAGACCCAAUAUCAGGCCAGGAGAUUGACGAUCCAUCACAGUUCAUUUCAUGCGUGUGUUGGAGAGGGCAGUCCUCAACGCUUCUUUCUGCUAAUUCCAGCGGGAACAUUAAAAUCUUAGAAAUGGACUGACCGUGCACAAAUGGGCAGCUUGUGCGCGUCCAGUUUCCAAUAGAAAUGAACUGACUUGACACCCAAGGGAAUGCGCGUGCCCGGGGCUAGCAUAGUGCAUUGGAAGUUUGCCUUCAAAUGCAGAGAGGUCUAUAGGGCGCGAUGUAACUUUAUUAGAGUUGGAGUUAGGAGGUUGAUAGGACAGAGUGGUAGCUGUACCAGAGUUAGCAUAGGAUUAGAUAGAAAACGUAGCAUAAAUAGGGAAAGUAUUUGUGACGCAGGGGAUCCAAGAGGGGUUUUGUACAUCAUUGGUUUGAGGUAUACUUAUAUAGGCAAUCAAUCCAAGCUUCAGUCAUUGCUAUUCUUGUUUUGAAA